RNAcentral lists this ribosomal RNA (734 nucleotides) under uncultured fungus. RNAcentral's name for it is "eukaryotic LSU rRNA". The stretch from base 213 to 366 matches the Rfam family "5.8S ribosomal RNA". The record is from RNAcentral. Lineage: Eukaryota; Fungi.
AGGAUCAUUAUCGAGUUUUGACUGGGUUGUAGCUGGCCUUCCGAGGCAUGUGCACGCCCUGCUCAUCCACUCUACACCUGUGCACUUACUGUGGGUAUCAGAUCGUGAAGCGUGCUCUUUUACCGGAGCUUGUGAAGCGUGUCUGUGCCUGCGUUUAUCACAAACACUAUAAAGUAUCAGAAUGUGUAUUACGAUGUAACGCAUCUAUAUACAACUUUCAGCAACGGAUCUCUUGGCUCUCGCAUCGAUGAAGAACGCAGCGAAAUGCGAUAAGUAAUGUGAAUUGCAGAAUUCAGUGAAUCAUCGAAUCUUUGAACGCACCUUGCGCUCCUUGGUAUUCCGAGGAGCAUGCCUGUUUGAGUGUCAUGAAAUCUUCAACCUAUAAGCUUUUGUGGUUUGUAGGCUUGGACUUGGAGACUUGUCGGCCUUGAUCGGUCGGCUCCUCUUAAAUGUAUUAGCUUGAUUCCUUGCGGAUCGGCUCUCGGUGUGAUAAUAUCUACGCCGCGACCCGUGAAGCCGUUUGGCGAGCUUCUAACCGUCUCACUUGAGAGACAACUUUAUGACCUCUGACCUCAAAUCCGGUAGGACUACCCGCUGAACUUAAGCAUAUCAAUAAGCCGGAGGAAAAGAAACUAACAAGGAUUCCCCUAGUAACUGCGAGUGAAGCGGGAAAAGCUCCAAUUUAAAAUCGGGCGGUCCUUUGGCCGUCCCAGUUGUAGUCUGGAGAAGUGCUU